RNAcentral lists this ribosomal RNA (253 nucleotides) under uncultured bacterium. RNAcentral describes it as "partial 16S ribosomal RNA". It matches the Rfam family "Bacterial small subunit ribosomal RNA", at positions 524 to 776 of the family's 1533-position model. The record is from RNAcentral.
UACGUAGGGGGCAAGCGUUGUCCGGAAUCAUUGGGCGUAAAGAGCGUGUAGGCGGCCUGACAGGUCUGCUGUGAAAACUCGAGGCUCAACCUCGAGAUGUCGGCGGAAACCGUCUGGCUAGAGUCCGGAAGAGGAGAGUGGAAUUCCUGGUGUAACGGUGAAAUGCGCGGAUAUCAGGAAGAACACCUAUGGCGAAGGCAGCUCUCUGGGACGGUACUGACGCUGAGACGCGAAAGCGUGGGGAGCGAACAGG